UACGUAGGGAGCGAGCGUUGUCCGGAAUUACUGGGCGUAAAGGGUGCGUAGGCGGCUUGGCAAGUCAGAUGUGAAAUCCCCGGGCUUAACUCGGGGGGUGCAUUUGAAACUGCUGAGCUUGAGUGCAGGAGAGGAAAGCGGAAUUCCUAGUGUAGCGGUGAAAUGCGUAGAUAUUAGGAGGAACACCAGUGGCGAAGGCGGCUUUCUGGACUGUAACUGACGCUGAUGCACGAAAGCGUGGGGAGCAAACAGG
Molecule: ribosomal RNA, 253 nt
Filed under: uncultured bacterium
Lineage: Bacteria
Description: partial 16S ribosomal RNA
Rfam family: Bacterial small subunit ribosomal RNA
Source: RNAcentral